Paramormyrops kingsleyae is the source of this 1499-nucleotide non-coding RNA. Lineage: Eukaryota; Metazoa; Chordata; Actinopteri; Osteoglossiformes; Mormyridae. The record is from RefSeq and is a predicted model, not a curated record.
UCGCUAUUUGCUCGGGGUGGUGGUGCAAAAGGGGCUCGCAGGAAACGGCACUCAUCUGAACUACAUGAGCGAAAGCAGAGAGAGAAAUGGGGAAAAAAAUGAGUGAAGGAAGAAAAAGAGAGAGAGAGUGCUGUCUGUGCAGCAUUUUUUUUUCCCCCCCUCACUCUUGUCUACUCCGGAGAGAAGAAAAUCUGCAGGACAAACUUCAGCCAGCUGUGAGGGAGAGAAAGAGAGGAGGAAAGGAAGAAUAAAAGACAAAGAGAUAGAGGAGAGAAAACCUGUGAAAUGCUGAUGAGUCCCUUUUCUUCCAGCCAGCCAAACCAGUAUCUCCAACAUGCGAUCAUGGGAACCAGCCUGGUAGUUAAUGGUGUGAGAGUUCAGAUGUGCACCGAACAUGCGAAAGGAAGCAAGAAACUGGAAAGGUUAACAGGAACUUCAGAUGGAGGGUUCAGCUUCUGGCAAAGUGGCCCUGAGAGAGAGCAUCUUCCCACCUCCGGACCAGCUGACCAGCUCCUCUUGCCAGAUGCCUCCUAUGCUGCCAGCCCUGACCUGUGAUCUGUGGGCAUCAUCCAGCAGGUUUUUAAUACGUCGAUCCUUUGGCCCUACUCAGACCCCCAGUCAGACUCUAUUUUGAUGUGACGCGAAUUCCGGCCGGUCCCGUGAAACUCCAAAGUGCGCCAACGGGACAUCGGACACAGUAUGACACUUUUCUCAUGUGAUACCUCUUCUGGUCAGUUCUCCCAGUGAGCUUGUGAAAUGUCGUUUUAGGGGUUCAACUCGGCGGUUUGUCUCUCUCCUGAUAGGUCAGUCCGUGCCACAAAUGUGCAGAAAGUGCAGUUAUAAAAAGCUGAUGAGCAAAUACAGCUCAGUAAACGUCCAGCAAGUUGUACAUUUGGAGGUUCUGCUCUGAAAGCCAUUAGUCUUUAUAAGAUAUUUCUGUUUUAACUCGUUAAAAAUGAAUAAUUCACAAACACUGGAAAAGAUUAAUAUUAUUGUUAAUGAAAUGUCAAAUAUUCAAUUAAGCAAAUGGUCAGUUGUGUGGCCUCAUUGUUUGAAUUGUUUUUGCUCAGUCGUGUUGUUUUCAAAGUCUUUAGCGUAAAGGGUUUCUGUUUCAGCAAAUUAAAUUUAAUGUCGGUCUGUAAAGCUAAAAUGCCAGUUUCACUGCACCGGACCAGAAAACUGGCCUGUCUGAUAUUCUUUUCGGUAAAUAAUAUUUAUAACUAUGGGCAUUAAAUAACUAAACUAACAACUAAAUUUAAAUUUAAAUCUUGAAAUAUUUCAUAGUCAUUACAUAUAUAUUUCAUUCUAUGUAUUGUAUUCUGUCAUAUGUGACUUUUUCUGCAACUAAAUAUUUUGUAUUUUAAUCACUUUUUUUCAUAGUUGAAAGCUUACUUUUAGCAUUUUACAUUAGAUGCUAAAAUAUCCAUGAUUCCAGUAUGAUAUAACAAAUGCAUCAGAAAUUGCUAUUGUAAAUGAAUUAAUGAAAAUAUGUAACAUUA